GAUGAACGCUGGCGGCGUGCUUAACACAUGCAAGUCGAACGGAAAGGCCCGGCUUUUGUGGGGUGCUCGAGUGGCGAACGGGGGAGUAACACGUGAGUAACCUGCCCUUGACUUUGGGAUAACUUCAGGAAACUGGGGCUAAUACCGGAUAGGAGCUCCUGCUGCAUGGUGGGGGUUGGAAAGUUUCGGCGGUUGGGGAUGGAAUCGCGGCUUAUCAGCUUGUUGGUGGGGUAGUGGCUUACGAAGGCUUUGAAGGGUAGCCGGCCUGGGAGGGUGACCGGCCACAUUGGGACUGCGAUACGGCCCAGACGCCUACGGGAGGCAGCGGGGGGGAAGAUUGCGCAAGGGGCGGAAGCCUGAUGCAGCAACGCCGCGUUCGGGAUGACGUCUUUCGGGUUGUAAACCGCUUUCGCCUGUGACGAAGCGUGAGUGACGGUAAUGGGUAAAGAAGCACCGGCUAACUACGUG
This 468-nucleotide ribosomal RNA is filed under the name uncultured bacterium. RNAcentral's name for it is "partial 16S ribosomal RNA". It matches the Rfam family "Bacterial small subunit ribosomal RNA", at positions 28 to 507 of the family's 1533-position model. The record is from RNAcentral.